AGGCAGCAGUGAGGAAUAUUGGUCAAUGGACGCAAGUCUGAACCAGCCAUGCCGCGUGCAGGAAGACGGCUCUAUGAGUUGUAAACUGCUUUUGUAUUAGGGUAAACUCAGGUACGUGUACCUGACUGAAAGUAUAAUACGAAUAAGGAUCGGCUAACUCCGUGCCAGCAGCCGCGGUAAUGCGGAGGAUCCAAGCGUUAUCCGGAUUUAUUGGGUUUAAAGGGUGCGUAGGCGGUUUGAUAAGUUAGAGGUGAAAUACCGGGGCUUAACUCCGGAACUGCCUCUAAUACUGUUGAACUAGAGAGUAGUUGCGGUAGGCGGAAUGUAUGGUGUAGCGGUGAAAUGCUUAGAGAUCAUACAGAACACCGAUUGCGAAGGCAGCUUACCAAACUAUAUCUGACGUUGAGGCACGAAAGCGUGGGGAGCAAACAGGAUUAGAUACCCUGGUAGUCCACGCAGUAAACGAUGAUAACUCGUUGUCGGCGAUACACAGUCG
This 496-nucleotide ribosomal RNA is filed under the name uncultured bacterium. RNAcentral describes it as "bacterial SSU rRNA". It matches the Rfam family "Bacterial small subunit ribosomal RNA", at positions 346 to 839 of the family's 1533-position model. The record is from RNAcentral.